AUGGAGCAAUUGGAGAAGAGGAUGGAUGCUGCUGAACAACAAAUCAAAGAGCUGCGUGAAGAUCUUAAUAGGAGAUUUGACCAGCUGGUUGAGAUGAUAAGAAAGGGUGUCCCCCCUGCUACCAAUGAAGGAGAUUCAUCUAAAGAAGAGGAAGAUGUUCAUGAAGGAAGAAGGAGAGGUAAUCUUGGAGCAAUACCGCCAUGA
RNAcentral lists this ribosomal RNA (204 nucleotides) under Triticum aestivum (bread wheat). RNAcentral describes it as "partial small subunit ribosomal RNA". The record is from RNAcentral. Lineage: Eukaryota; Viridiplantae; Streptophyta; Magnoliopsida; Poales; Poaceae.